UACGUAGGGUGCAAGCGUUGUCCGGAAUUAUUGGGCGUAAAGAGCUCGUAGGCGGUUUGUCGCGUCGGAUGUGAAAACCCGGGGCUCAACCCCGGGACUGCAUUCGAUACGGGCAGACUAGAGUUCGGUAGGGGAGUCUGGAAUUCCUGGUGUAGCGGUGAAAUGCGCAGAUAUCAGGAGGAACACCGGUGGCGAAGGCGGGACUCUGGGCCGAUACUGACGCUGAGGAGCGAAAGCGUGGGGAGCAAACAGG
RNAcentral lists this ribosomal RNA (253 nucleotides) under uncultured bacterium. RNAcentral's name for it is "partial 16S ribosomal RNA". It matches the Rfam family "Bacterial small subunit ribosomal RNA", at positions 524 to 776 of the family's 1533-position model. The record is from RNAcentral.